Molecule: long non-coding RNA, 1657 nt
Organism: Pristis pectinata (smalltooth sawfish)
Lineage: Eukaryota; Metazoa; Chordata; Chondrichthyes; Rhinopristiformes; Pristidae
Exons: 3
Source: RefSeq, a predicted model, not a curated record
AGGUAAUGAAGGGAAGUUUUCCAUGUGCCUUCUUAACUACCCUAUCAGCUUCUGAGAUCCUUGGAAAUGUGUACCAAAGUCCCUCCUUUCCUCAGUAUUUCUUCAGGUGUCUUUUUUUUGUGCAGUGACUAACCAACUACUCAUCUAAUGUCUCCAAUCAGUAAAGUUGCUGAAAAUUGUAGUUGAUCUAGAUCACAAGGUGUCGGACCCCAACAGUGUACCUGGCAGGGUACUGAAAAUCUAUGCCAACCAACUGGCUGAAGAGUUCAAGGACAUCUUCAACCUCUCACUGCUGCAGUCGGAGAUUCCCACCUGCUUCAAAAGGGCAUCGAUCAUACCGGUGCCCAAGAAGAGCAGUGUGAGCUGCCUCAACAACUAUUGCUCAGUAGCACUCACAUCUACUGUGAUGGAGUGCUUUGAGAGGUUGGUCAUGGCUAGAAUUAACUCCUGCCUGAGCAAGAACCUGGACCCGCUGCAAUUUGCCUACCACCACAACAGGUCUACAGUGGACACAAUCUCACUGGCUCUCCACUCGGCUCUGGAGCACCUAGACAACUGCAAAACAUACGUCAGGCUGCUGUUUAUCGAUUACACCUUGGCAUUCAACACCAUCAUCCCCUCAGAACUAAUCAACAAGCUUCAAAACCUGGGUCUCUGUACCUCCCUCUGCAACUGGAUCCUCGACUUCCUUAUCGGGAGACAACAGUCAGUGCGGAUCGGUAGUAAUCGCAGACAAUCAACACAGACAAUCCUCACUGACAAUCAACGUAGGUGCACCUCAAGGAUGCCUGCUUAUCCCACUGCUUUACUCUGUCUACACUCAAGACUGUGUCACCAGGCACAGCUCAAAUGCCAUCUAUAAGUUCACCGAUGACACCACUGUUGUUGGCAGAAUCUCAGAUGGCGAUGAGGAGACAUACAGGAGUGAGAUAGAUCAGCUGGUUGAGUGGUGUUGCAACAGCAAAUGUGCACUCAAUGUCAGCAAGACCAAGGAAUUGAUUGUGGACUCCAGGAAGGGGAAGUCAGGAGAACACACACCAGUCUUCAUUAAGGGGUCAGUGGUGGAAAGGGUGAGCAGAUUCAAGUUCCUGGGCAUCAACAUCUCACCGAGGAUCUAUCUUGGACCCAACACAUUGAUACAAUCACACAGAAAGCACAUCAGUGGCUCUACUUCAUUAGAAGUUUGAAGAGAUUUGGUAUGUACCAAAGACUCUUGCAAAUUUCUACAUAUGUGCAGUGGAGAGCAUUCUGACUGCAUCACUGCCUGGUAUGGAGGCUCCAAUGUGUAGGAUCAAAAGAGGCUGCAGAGGGUUGUAGACUUAGCCAGCUCCAUCAUGGACACAACCCUCCCUGCCAUCGAGGACAUCCUCAAGAGUGGCAUCCAUCAUUAAGGACCCUCACCAUACAGGAUAUGCCCUCUUCACAUUACUACCAUCGGGGAGGAGGUACAGGAGUCUGAAGACCCACAUUCAAAGUUUCAGGAACAGCUUCUUCCCCUCUGCCAUCAGAUUUCUUAAUAGUCCAUGAACCCAUGAACACUACCUCAUUAUUCCUGUUUUGCACAAUUUAUUUUAUUUUGUAACUUAUAGUAAUUUUUAUGUCCUGCACUGUACUGCUGCCACAAAACAACAAAUUUCAUGACAUAUGUCAGUGAUAA